GAUGAACGCUGGCGGCGUGCCUAAUACAUGCAAGUCGAGCGAACGGACGAGAAGCCUGCUUCUCUGAUGUUAGCGGCGGACGGGUGAGUAACACGUGGAUAACCUACCUAUAAGACUGGGAUAACUUCGGGAAACCGGAGCUAAUACCGGAUAAUAUUUUGAACCGCAUGGUUCAAAAGUGAAAGACGGUCUUGCUGUCACUUAUAGAUGGAUCCGCGCUGCAUUAGCUAGUUGGUAAGGUAACGGCUUACCAAGGCAACGAUGCAUAGCCGACCUGAGAGGGUGAUCGGCCGCACUGGAACUGAGACACGGUCCAGACUCCUACGGGAGGCAGCAGUAGGGAAUCUUCCGCAAUGGGCGAAAGCCUGACGGAGCAACGCCGCGUGAGUGAUGAAGGUCUUCGGAUCGUAAAACUCUGUUAUUAGGGAAGAACAUAUGUGUAAGUAACUGUGCACAUCUUAACGGUACCUAAUCAGAAAGCCACGGCUAACUACGUG
Molecule: ribosomal RNA, 497 nt
Filed under: uncultured bacterium
Lineage: Bacteria
Description: partial 16S ribosomal RNA
Rfam family: Bacterial small subunit ribosomal RNA
Source: RNAcentral